RNAcentral lists this ribosomal RNA (253 nucleotides) under uncultured bacterium. RNAcentral describes it as "partial 16S ribosomal RNA". It matches the Rfam family "Bacterial small subunit ribosomal RNA", at positions 524 to 776 of the family's 1533-position model. The record is from RNAcentral.
UACGAAGGGGGCUAGCGUUGCUCGGAAUCACUGGGCGUAAAGGGUGCGUAGGCGGGUCUUUAAGUCAGGGGUGAAAUCCUGGAGCUCAACUCCAGAACUGCCUUUGAUACUGAAGAUCUUGAGUUCGGGAGAGGUGAGUGGAAUUGCGAGUGUAGAGGUGAAAUUCGUAGAUAUUCGCAGGAACACCAGUGGCGAAGGCGGCUCACUGGUCCGAUACUGACGCUGAGGUGCGAAAGCGUGGGGAGCAAACAGG